Molecule: long non-coding RNA, 7104 nt
Filed under: Lactuca sativa (garden lettuce)
Lineage: Eukaryota; Viridiplantae; Streptophyta; Magnoliopsida; Asterales; Asteraceae
Description: long non-coding RNA (LSAT_LNC006093)
Source: RNAcentral
AUACAUGCAAAUAUGAAUAUUCCAAGGUAUUACCCUAACUAGCAUAUAAUCUUUUGAUACUUGAAUAAUAAAGUAGAUAGAAAUACAUACCUUGUUGAUAUAGCUUAACUCCAUGAAGCUCGAGAGCCUAGUGCCCCAAGUGUGACACCUCAAAUGGUUCAAACAACAUCAUCAACACUUGGAAUAACCAUGAAAAGAAGACACUUCAUGCUCAAAUUGGCUAGCCCUCAUAUAAGUAUCACUGGUGCCAAUUUCUUGAGCUAAAGGUCUUUAUAUAGUGUGGCUAUUAGGGUUACACCAUGUAACUCAUGAAUUUACCCAUUCCUUAUGCUCCAUGGGUUUUAACCUCCAUGGAGUAUCCAUGGGUCACCACAUGGGUUAAACCCAACAUAAGGAAUCUUGGAUCAUAAGCCCACAUAUAUAAGAAUUAACGAUUUUCACAAUCAAUCCCCAUAUAUUUAAUUAGUCUCUUUUGAUCACUAAAUUAAGUCCAAAUUAAUUCUUGAUCAAUACUAAUUAAAUAACAUGAUUUCAUAUUAAUAUAUUAGAACUUAUAAUAUAUUAAUAUGUCACAAAUGUCCUCUUCUCACAAAUGGUCUAUCCAAAUGUUCUGAUGCCAUGCAACCCAAAUGGACCAUGCCGAGUCGGGUCAAGUACAUACCAAUUAUAGUUAUGGACUUAGACACUAAUCCAACAGUCUCCCACUUGGAUAAGUCUAAAACUAUUAUUGAGUAUGACUUCAAAACCUAACUGGCAAUCGUAGCUCUCAAAAGCCGCUGUCGAACUCUGACCUUGUCGAUGAACUCUGACCUUUGUCAAUGACUUGUCCAUUAGAUAAGGGAUCAUAUAUUCCUCCAUUCUAGAUAUCAUAUGGACUGAGACAUUGAUUAAAAUCAUUCUCUCUGUCCAUUUGUUGUUUCCCGAUUUCCAAUUUAUGACGACUGACUAAUUGAACAAAUCAAAUCAGUCCUGGCUUGGCCAAGCACUCACAUGUAUCAUCAUUAAAUCAUCGAGGGGCCCACAAAUAUCUCUUUUAUCCUGAAGGUAAUAGGAAUGGAUAAACUUCUACUCAUAUGGCUUGUUCUACUACUUGCUGAAUCAUACACAAAGGCACAUUUUAUAACAUCGAGUUACCGAAUGCGUUUUUGUGCAAUCAAUGUACAACCAACUCAUAGUAACAACUCAUAUCUCUAGGUUUGAAGAAUAUAAGAUAUUAUCGUCUCAUGAUCACUCGUGAUAAAAUCCAUGAAGUGAUUCCAAUGAGCGCGGGUUGAAUCCAAUACUCAGAACUUAUGAGCACUCAUGAGUGUUGUAGCCCUUUGUCCAACACCUUAGACCUCUACAAGCCAACCCAUGACAGUCUUAAUUCAUAUCUACUUCCAACAUAUGACCGACUGUGGAUGGUUUGAAUAACUUAGUCAUUCCGGAAGAAUAACCUAGUUUAUUCGGGAAGUCAAAACAUGCAAAGUGAAACACAAUAAUAAUUGAAUCCAAUAUGGUAUCAAAACUUAUGAACAUAAAUAAAACACCUUUUAUUUAUCACCAUAUGAUUACACAUUAUUCAUUGUAUACUGUUUCAGCUAUCAACUUUAUUCUUGAAUUUAAAACAAUAGUUGUCCCAUGCUCCAAGCAUGUACACUAUGUUUUCUUAAACACUAGUCAUGCCACACACCAAGUAUGCAUACUAUGUUUGUCUAUGAUCUUUACUUUGUGAACUAGAUCAAUUGAACAUAACUUCAAUGAUUCUCUUUUCACACUCCCAAAUCCUUACUGCAAAUGCAAGAAUUCCAAAUUCAUGCCAUUUACUGAAAUCUGUUAGAUUCUAAACUUAUAUGCAUUGAUCCUCUUGUAAUGAUUAUGCACAAAGUCAGAAAGACUUGACAACAAUCAUUACAGAGUAUUCCAAAGGAGAUCAGCUCCUUGGAAACAUCCUUCUUGCAUUAAGUUUCCUAAUCUUAAACAGAUUGAAAAUUCUAACUUUGAAACAUUUCCAGAUUCCAUUUUGACUAUCACUUCUGAACAAGAGUUGCCUCCUUACAGAUUAUGUCAAUAUGGUCCUUCCAGAAUUAUCACUAUACUUCCAACUGUCCUUGAGCAACCAAUCUUUGGUAAACCUUAGAUUGUCCUCGACAAUUGUUUAAUCCUUUUAGUCAUAUCCAGUUCUAAACCUUUUCCCUUCUUAAUGCCCCAGGCAUUUGGAAAAUUUUAGAACGGAUGAAUAUAGCACAUGUAAUCGAUCCUAUAUCCGAAGCAUAUGGGACACGAUUCAUGAUGUCUCACAUAAAGACUAAACCAGUCUUUUGCUAUAAUAUUUCCAUUUCAAUUUGCCAAGUUCUCAUAAUUCAGAUUAUGAAAAGGGAUGCCGUAAUCAUAAUCGAAUUUUAGAACGCAAAUAAUGGACCCAUAUACAGAAUUUCCUUAUGUUGAGCCAUUCCAACAUGAAAUUCAUAUAUAUCCUUGACUAAAUGAUUAAAACCUCACGAUCUAAGCUUAUAGAUUUGAGAUGAAGUAUAAUUUCCUCUCCCUUAAUUAUAGCAAAACAACUUUUUCCCAAUUGAAACUUUUGUUUUCUAUAAUUAACAUUGCUAACUUGCAAUACUUAUCAUAAUUAUCAUGCUCCCACUAACAUGAUGAUUAUUAGCAUAACACUUAUGCUCCCACUAGCUUUGACAUGUACUCAGAAAUCAGCUGGACUUCUAGAAAUCAAUACUUCAUUGACUUUCUUACCAAAGUUCAGAUUUCUGAUACUAGAUUGUUUUGAUAAAACUUUAUCAAAAUCAUACACCUUCCCUUAGAUAGCACACUUGUGUAUCUAAACAAUUAUGAAGAGGGAUGCCGUAAUCAUAAUGUUUAGACCUUUUUGCCACUUCUCACAAGUCCAAAUUAGUGUGCCGGUUAACCACACGCGCUCCACUAACGACUUUGAGAAUGCAAAUAUCACAAUUGCUAUCUAGCUAAAAUCUACUUAGUGAAAGUGUUUCCUCACCAUCAUUUUCAUGAAUCGGAGAGAAACCUUAUGACACUUAGAUUUAAUGGUGUAUGUGUUCUUAUCCAUGUGAAUUGUCAAAACCAUAGUCACAAGACAAGGAUAAUGACAAAUCCAAACUCAUAUGGACUGAACUCAAUCUUAAUUUCUUGCCACCUGGCAGCUCAAGGGCCUGCCAUUGCUUCCAAGUUGUUGUGCAACAAAUUGAGAACUCUAAGAACUCAUAUGCAAAGCCAACUUUAACUGGAAUGGGCACAGAAUAUGUCAACACGAUAGGUUAUGAACCUCAAGUCGUGUGCUAGUGAAGAACUUCAGGUUUUAUUCUUGAUUAGUUCUUGAGACUUUCAAGACCUUUAAGACUCCCACUGUCCUCUUGACAUAUAAGACUCCCUUGUCAAACAUCCAAGAGAUAGUGCGGAUUCUAAUCAAGAAAAACACUUUACCCAAUUGGCCUAAGUUGGUCUUUGUUUUAUCCAAAACAUCACAACUUACCAAUUUCAAAUGUACAAGAGUAGAAAACUUUUACUCUUACAUUUGACAAGUGUUUUAAACCUUCUUUAAGACAUGUCACUCAAAUGACAAUCUUGGAGUAUGACUCUAAGACUUGUAUUGGAACGAAGUAUGACUCAUCUUCUUGAUUUAACCAUUUCAACAAUUCAAGUUCCUCUUCUUAGUCAUAAGAAUGCACUAAGAUUUCCUUAGAGAACUAAUUUUGAUAUGGUUUCUUAAUCAUUAAGAUGAUCACAAAACUGAUACUAAAGUACUCUCCCAUCUUUUCAGAUUUGAGAAACUUUUAUCCUUCUGCCUUAUUUGAUUCUUCUUAUCGAUCUUUAGUGGUGGACUUAAUCAGUGCACAAGAAUGUGUACUCGAUCCCUAAGUCCUUUACUUGACUCACACAUCCAUGUGAACAAGUAAUUAGUCUUAAUUUUCCAAAACUUGAAAGUUCUCAUUCAUCAUGCUAUACAACUUGCAUGAUUCCAAGUUCCGGUCCAAUUGAAACUUGGGUGAUGAGAAUCUUUCCUUAUUUGGUAAAUUUAGACAUUACCACAAAUGAAAGAAUCAAUUUCAUACUUCCACUCUUGCUACUAAUGGAAUCUUAUAAGCAACAAAAAUUUCCACAGAUGCCAUUGUAAGGAUAUUUUAAAAUAAAUAAAAUCAAAAAUUUCCUUUUAUUUUAAAACUUUGCGGAAAAACUAUCCUUACAAUCCAUAUGAAAACUUGUUGUUAUCUAUUCCUAAGCAAUAUCUCAUAACUCCUAAGAAGUAGCUCAAGAAUCCGAUUUUUCAAACUAUGCGAUAGAAAUCCAUCUAUGCGAUCAGAUUCAGCAUAUUCUUCCUUUAAGUUUCUUCACUUUCCUUUGAUUCUUAAACCAUCACCAUGCGACCCGGUCACAUCAUGUAUCAAGAAUCUCAGAAUAGAAACUUAACAGAGUUAGAUAGUGGAUUUUACCUGAAGUAGAGUCAAACUUAUUGACUUUAACAUCCUUAGGUAAAUUUGGCAGCUUCGCAACCAAUGCCCUUUCUUUGGCAAUACAAACAUAUGGACCCUUUGAUAAUGGUACACAGGACUAUCACAGACUUAGCUUUUCUCUUUACCAUUUGGUCAACCGAGUUGACUAUAGCCGAUCCCUUUCCAUUGGGAAGAGAAUGCUUUACUGGAUAUCCAAUGUCAUCAUUGUCAAUGUCCAUAAAGUUUUAGGAAGUUGAUCUUAACAAAUAGAUAAGAUCAUUAAGGGUCUUGUCAUAGUCUUUUUCAUAGGUGUUCCAAAAGAACUCACUAUGUGACUUAGAAAGUAGUUGAACCACCAACUUUCUCAAGACUUUGACACCCAACUCUCCCGGCUUGUCAAUAUGUGACUACAUCUCCAAGAUGUGACCACACCUAGACCUUGCCUUGCCAAAAGGGCCUGAGUGACCUUAAACUUUUCAAGAACUUGUGGGUUAGGGAGAAUAAUUUGAAGAGGUGAAGAAGUAUGAUAUCCAUGGGACAUCAUCUUCAUUAGGAAACCUUGUUUCAAGAGAUUUGGGAAGAUCAUAGGUGUCUAAACCAGACAUCUUUUGGGAGAUAUUCAAGAUAGUUGAUUUAAAGUCCUUAAUAUGACACCCAAUAUGAAAUAUUAAGGCUAGGACCCAACAAACUAUUUUAUAACUUAGAAGAGGUAUGCCGUAAUCCAAGCUAUAAAAUAUUUGAAGGUAGGUGAAUGACGAUUCACCAAUUUCCACCAAGAUAAACGAAAUGUAUUAUUAGGUUUUAAUUGGUUUUGAAACUCCUAGAUCUUUGAGAUUCAUUGAACUUUUCAAAGGCAUGUUUCAAUCUCGAGUGUGCCCUUCAGGUUUUGUGACUGGGAUGCCGAGGAUCACAAAACAAGGUGUGAAGUAACCAUGCAAAUCACUUGGUACCCUUAAUAAAUUACCCCUCAAUCGAUGUGCCGGUUAACCACACACGCUCCAUCGAUACUAUGAUAAAUAUUAAGUCACCCUUUACCUACCUUGUUAAGUCCAAGUUAGUGUGCCGGUUAACCACACACGCUCCACUAACGACUUAGACAAAGUGUAAAGUGUAAUUUCAUGGAUUAGCACCUUAUUCACAUUUUUCCUAAGUAACUAAGAUUGGGUAUUAUUAAGAGUUUAGUUACUUAGUAUUAUCAUUAAUACUUUUAAUGAAGGGAGAAUUCUAGUCCUGUCAAACCCGUUCGGCUAACGACCCUCCACCAGUCAAGCAAGCGGUGGGUGAGAGUGGACACCCAUUAAGUUGCCAUUUUAUAGGCAACAACCUUAUACCCACCUUAUAGACCGGCUUCGUGAAUGAGGCGUACUAGCGGUAAGACUGACUUUACUCUUAUACAUAUAUAUAUUAUUAACUUAUAAUAUUAUAAAGUAUAAGGGUUGAAUUUUAACUUUUAAAAUUCUAAGGGCUAACUUGGAAUUAAAGUAUUCAUAAGUGAAAACUUUACAAAUUCCAAAACUUGAGGGCAAGUUUUGAAACUAUUCAAAACUAAUUAAUUCCAUAACUUAUGUGUUUAAAGUAGUUUUAAUCCAAAAACUCUUCAAGUUCCAUAACUUGAGGACAAGUUAUGGAAGACUUUAAACUAAUAAAAGAAUUAACUUUUCUUUAUUUUAUAACUUAUGGAAUUAAUUAAGGUUACACUUUUUUUUUUUUUAUUUUAUUUUAUUAAAUGAAGAGACUCUUGGUCCUCCAUAACUUGAGGACAAGUUAUGGAGUCAUAAAACCAUUUAAUUAGAACUAGACUCUUCAUUUUUGUAACCUUUGCCAAUUUUUAUGAGUUUUAUGAUUCUUAAAUGUGACUUUUCAUAUAACUUGAGGACAAGUUACAAAAACACAUUUUAGAAUCAAUUCUUAGAUUAAUUUGGAUUAAAACCAACUAUCACAUAAUUUUAUUCAUUAAUCUAAAUUCACUCAUAAAACAAGGUAACACAAAAAACUUUUGGUGAUCCAUAACUUAUUCUUAAGUUAUGGAAUCCUUUAAAACAUUAACACCAAAUUUUGUAACUCCAAAAAAACUUUGAAUCAAUUUUUUUUUUAAAACCUUUUCAUAUCCAUAACUUAUGGAGGUUUCAAAAAAUAAAACUCUUUAGAUCAAACUUUUAAAACUAAUAAAAUAAUCAUAUUAUUUUAUCUUUUAUUAAAUUUGACCUAAUUCAACUCAUAAAGCAAAUUAUUCAAAUUUUACAAAUAAUUAGUUUUUCACAAGAACAAGUAAUUAUCUUAAAAUUUGACAAACUUCAUGUUUUUUUUUUUUUUUUUUUUCAACUUUGAAAAUAAAACAUUUGCAUUAAUAUAACAGAAAACAACCCAUGGCUCUGAUACCUCUGUUGGGUUUUGAGCAUUCUAACACUCCUAAGUGUACAUGCAACCCUAAAUACCUUGGAUCUAUGUUUUCUCUAUUAUACAUGCAAAUAUGAAUAUUCCAAGGUAUUACCCUAACUAGCAUACAAUCUUUUGAUACUUGAAUAAUAAACUAGAUAGAAAUACAUACCUUGUUGAUGUAGCUUAACUCCAUGAAGCUCGAGAGCCUAGUGCCCCAAGUGUGACACCUCAAAUGGUUCACACAACAUCAUCAACACUUGGAAUAACCAUGAAAAGAAGACACUUCAUG